AUUGGACGCUGGCGGCAGGCUUAACACAUGCAAGUCGAGCGGGGGAAGGUAGCUUGCUACCGGACCUAGCGGCGGACGGGUGAGUAAUGCUUAGGAAUCUGCCUAUUAGUGGGGGACAACAUCUCGAAAGGGAUGCUAAUACCGCAUACGUCCUACGGGAGAAAGCAGGGGAUCUUCGGACUUUGCGCUAAUAGAUGAGCCUAAGUCGGAUAUAGCUAGUUGGUGGGGUAAAGGCCUACCAAGGCGACGAUCUGUAGCGGGUCUGAGAGGAUGAUCCGCCACACUGGGACUGAGACACGGCCCAGACUCCUACGGGAGGCAGCAGUGGGGAAUAUUGGACAAUGGGGGGAACCCUGAUCUAGCCAUGCCGCGUGUGUGAAGAAGGCCUUAUGGUUGUAAAGCACUUUAAGCGAGGAGGAGGCUACUCUAGUUAAUACCUAGGGAUAGUGGACGUUACUCGCAGAAUAAGCACCGGCUAACUCUGUGCCAGCAGCCGCGGUAA
Molecule: ribosomal RNA, 502 nt
Filed under: uncultured bacterium
Lineage: Bacteria
Description: partial 16S ribosomal RNA
Rfam family: Bacterial small subunit ribosomal RNA
Source: RNAcentral